RNAcentral lists this transfer RNA (76 nucleotides) under Stenotrophomonas sp. SAU14A_NAIMI4_8. RNAcentral describes it as "tRNA-Met". It matches the Rfam family "tRNA". Rfam says of the family: Transfer RNA (tRNA) molecules are approximately 80 nucleotides in length. Their secondary structure includes four short double-helical elements and three loops (D, anti-codon, and T loops). Further hydrogen bonds mediate the characteristic L-shaped molecular structure. tRNAs have two regions of fundamental functional importance: the anti-codon, which is responsible for specific mRNA codon recognition, and the 3' end, to which the tRNAs corresponding amino acid is attached (by aminoacyl-tRNA synthetases). tRNAs cope with the degeneracy of the genetic code in two manners: having more than one tRNA (with a specific anti-codon) for a particular amino acid; and 'wobble' base-pairing, i.e. permitting non-standard base-pairing at the 3rd anti-codon position. The record is from RNAcentral. Lineage: Bacteria; Pseudomonadati; Pseudomonadota; Gammaproteobacteria; Lysobacterales; Lysobacteraceae.
AGCGAGAUAGCUCAGUUGGCAGAGCAGUGGGCUCAUAUCCCACCUGUCGCCGGUUCAAGUCCGGCUCUCGCUCCCA